RNAcentral lists this ribosomal RNA (624 nucleotides) under uncultured bacterium. RNAcentral describes it as "bacterial SSU rRNA". It matches the Rfam family "Bacterial small subunit ribosomal RNA", at positions 154 to 776 of the family's 1533-position model. The record is from RNAcentral.
AAAGAAAGAUUAAGACCUGAUAGUAUGGUGAGAUUGCAUGAUAGCACCAUUAAAGAUUUAUUGGUAAACGAUGGGGAUGCGUUCCAUUAGGUAGUAGGCGGGGUAACGGCCCACCUAGCCGACGAUGGAUAGGGGUUCUGAGAGGAAGGUCCCCCACAUUGGAACUGAGACACGGUCCAAACUCCUACGGGAGGCAGCAGUGAGGAAUAUUGGUCAAUGGGCGAGAGCCUGAACCAGCCAAGUAGCGUGAAGGAUGAAGGUCCUACGGAUUGUAAACUUCUUUUAUACGGGAAUAAAGUAUCCUACGUGUAGGAUUUUGUAUGUACCGUAUGAAUAAGCAUCGGCUAACUCCGUGCCAGCAGCCGCGGUAAUACGGAGGAUGCGAGCGUUAUCCGGAUUUAUUGGGUUUAAAGGGAGCGCAGACGGGAGAUUAAGUCAGUUGUGAAAGUUUGCGGCUCAACCGUAAAAUUGCAGUUGAUACUGGUUUCCUUGAGUGCAGUUGAGGCAGGCGGAAUUCGUGGUGUAGCGGUGAAAUGCUUAGAUAUCACGAAGAACCCCGAUUGCGAAGGCAGCUUGCUAAACUGUAACUGACGUUCAUGCUCGAAAGUGUGGGUAUCAAACAGG